CCGAUCAGAGACUAAGACACCUGCUACUCAUCUGCUACUGCUCACCUGCUCUCCAUCCAGCAAUCAACACCUGGCAGUAUAUCUAGCCGGCUCCUCUCACCAGUCUUUGCCAGAUUGUUUGUUUAUGCAAGUGGUAUUACGCCUCAGCCUCUGACUUACCACACUCAAAAAAAUUACCUUCAUGUUAUCUGAAACCCUGACUACCUCUCUGAUUCCCUGUGUUCAGGUUCGUUCCUCUCACCUGCCUCCAAGUUACUUGCCGGCUUUCCAGGAAGACCUCACCUCAGAUCUCCACAUCUCGACCUCAGCCCACUGUCCUCGCUCCGCCUGCCUGUUGUCACCAGUCUCUUGCCAGCCUGCUGUUUUCACUCAGUCCACCAGCUCACAACGAUUACCUCCACACUCCUGGUUACUCAUUGUAUUUUACAAUAAACUGAAACUAACUACUUCAACUCCCUCUGUGCUAGUCGUGCUUUUGGAUCCAGUCAUGGUGAACCAUACCAGCAACUAGGAAUAUGUGUAAUGCCACACCAGCAGAGGGAGCCCUCGCCUGAAUUCUGACUGUGUGCCACUCCCUCUGCUCACUCUACAGUCACUUCCUGUUUGGUAGCCAUUUUAAGCAUGCCAUGACCAAACAGGCCUUGCGAAGUAUUGCCAGUUCUACUGCCUUACCGAGCGUUUUGUAUCUACUAUCUGUUCACCUUGUGUAUGACCAUUUGCCUGCUUUCUCUGAUUUACUGAUUAUUGGAUUUCCAUUUUUGACUUGGCUGCCUGUUUGGAUUGCUUUUGUGUUUGACCAUCUUGCCUUGCCAUCUCACCUGCCUUUGGAUUACCCCUUUACCUGUUUGCCUUUGGACUGUUUUUGUGGUUUUGACCUUUUGCCUGGCUUUACGCUCCUUUUGGACUGUUCUUAAUAAACUUCAGCACACGGAUUCCAACACAGCUUCCAUUACAGAAUACUUCACCAACGAUGAAUCCAGCAGAAGUUUCUGAGCUUCAAGUGGCAUUUGCUUAUCAAAGUGAAAUGCUUAAAGGAUACCAGGAACAGCUCGACAAGCUCCAGUCUGCCAACGAAUAUCUGACCCACUACAUUCAAUCGCUACCUACGCUGCAAACGACCCGAAUGAUCCAGACCAGCUUGCUGGCAGCCAAUUUAUCUUGGAGAAGAUGAGAAUGUGACGGAGGUUCCUGUUGAAACGAUUCCAGAGGACAUCCUGAAGUGUGAUGAGAUCCACUGUGGGAAAAGUACACAUUUCUUUUUCAAAGCUUCUUACCUUUGCCAGAGUCUGCCUGUCCAUCCGUCAAAGAGCAACCCUGCCUCCUAAAAGUGACAUUUUAAUUCACCUAAUUUGCACGUGAAGAUGUUUUAUUGGAAAUGUAAUGAUGAAUAGGAUAAAUGCUGAAUUCUGUUUCUUAAUCAACAUGAGAUGUGAUAAUGUGAUAUGAUGUGUAUAUUGAACAUAUCUUCAAUGUUUAGUGUCAACAUCUUUCAUUGUAAUUAAAAACAUGAACAACAAUCUGCUUCUAGCAACUAAAGCAUGAUUAUGGUUUUAUGGUUAUCUUUAGGCAACACAAAGCACAUAGUUAUGGUUAGGGAAACAUAACGGCCAGAAAUCGGCAUAUGUCUUAUAUAAACUCAAAAAAUCCUAAUAAACAAAGGUGAUGUAUCUCAAACAUUCAGGACCACUGCUACUAUAUGUACUGUCAAGCAAUGAAUGACAAACACAGAGGAAAACAGUACAGCACAAAAGUAGACUUACUGUAGAAAAGUUUGCCCCACUAACAGUAUUGUUCAGAUUGAUUUAGCUUACAGUGAAUCAUUCUUGCAAUGCUUACACUGCCAUUAUUGGCAGUGUGUGUUUAGGUAAUUUACAGAAGUCAUUAGUCUCUGCACCAAGGCUACAGAGAGAGAGCUAAGCUUGCUUGUGUGGGUAGGAGGAAGGCAACUAGCUGGAAAGAGCUGCUGCUGGACUUGGAGUGGGAGGUUCAGCUCACUGGAAGCCGAAUGUAGCACUGCAGAUCUGCUGAUAAAUGAUGAUAAAAAUU
This is a long non-coding RNA of Siniperca chuatsi (mandarin fish), 2046 nucleotides long. RefSeq lists it as uncharacterized. The record is from RefSeq and is a predicted model, not a curated record. NCBI's taxonomy places the organism in Eukaryota, Metazoa, Chordata, Actinopteri, Centrarchiformes, Sinipercidae. The transcript has 2 exons.